AGAGUUUGAUCCUGGCUCAGGACGAACGCUGGCGGCGUGCUUAACACAUGCAAGUCGAACGAUGAAGCUGGAGCUUGCUCCGGCGGAUUAGUGGCGAACGGGUGAGUAACACGUGAGCAAUCUGCCCUUGACUCUGGGAUAACUGCGGGAAACUGUAGCUAAUACCGGAUACUUUCCUCGCUGGGCAUCCAGCGGGGAAGAAAGAAUUUCGGUCAAGGAUGAGCUCGCGGCCUAUCAGCUAGUUGGUGAGGUAAUGGCUCACCAAGGCGACGACGGGUAGCCGGCCUGAGAGGGUGACCGGCCACACUGGAACUGAGACACGGUCCAGACUCCUACGGGAGGCAGCAGUGGGGAAUAUUGCACAAUGGGCGAAAGCCUGAUCCAGCAAUGCCGCGUGAGUGUAGAAGGCCUUCGGGUUGUAAAGCUCUUUCGGACGGGACGAAAUGGCAUCCGCUAAUACCGGG
Molecule: ribosomal RNA, 464 nt
Filed under: uncultured bacterium
Lineage: Bacteria
Description: bacterial SSU rRNA
Rfam family: Bacterial small subunit ribosomal RNA
Source: RNAcentral